This 1390-nucleotide ribosomal RNA is filed under the name uncultured bacterium. Its description in RNAcentral is "bacterial SSU rRNA". It matches the Rfam family "Bacterial small subunit ribosomal RNA". The record is from RNAcentral.
AGUCGAACGGUAACAGGCGGUAGCAAUACUGUGCUGACGAGUGGCGCACGGGUGCGUAACACGUAUGCAACUUACCCUUUACCGGGGCAUAACCUGUUGAAAGACGGGCUAAUUCCCCAUGGUAUUAUUUGGAGGCAUCUUUGAGUAAUUAAAGAUUUAUCGGUAAAGGAUGGGCAUGCGCCCCAUUAGUUAGUUGGUGAGGUAACGGCUCACCAAGACUGUGAUGGGUAGGGGUUCUGAGAGGAUUAUCCCCCACACUGGUACUGAGACACGGACCAGACUCCUACGGGAGGCAGCAGUAAGGAAUAUUGGGCAAUGGGCGAGAGCCUGACCCAGCCAUGCCGCGUGCAGGAAGACGGCCUUAUGGGUUGUAAACUGCUUUUCUAUGGGAAUAACCACUUCUACGUGUAGAGGUCUGCAUGUACCAUAGGAAUAAGCAUCGGCUAACUCCGUGCCAGCAGCCGCGGUAAUACGGAGGAUGCAAGCGUUAUCCGGAAUUAUUGGGUUUAAAGGGUGCGUAGGCGGACUGAUAAGUCAGUGGUGAAACUUCCGGGCUUAACCUGGGACCUGCCAUUGAUACUGUUGGUCUUGAGUGUAGUUGAUGUUGGCGGAAUGUGUCAUGUAGCGGUGAAAUGCAUAGAUAUGACACAGAACACCGAUAGCGAAGGCAGCUGACAAAACUAUAACUGACGCUGAGGCACGAAAGCGUGGGGGUCAAACAGGAUUAGAUACCCUGGUAGUCCACGCCGUAAACGAUGAUCACUAGCUGUAUGCGAUACACAGUAUGUGGCUAAGGGAAACCGAUAAGUGAUCCACCUGGGGAGUACGUCCGCAAGGAUGAAACUCAAAGGAAUUGACGGGGGCCCGCACAAGCGGAGGAGCAUGUGGUUUAAUUCGAUGAUACGCGAGGAACCUUACCUGGGCUUGAACGUAUGGUGCAUGUGGGUGAAAGCUCACUUUCUAGCAAUAGACUUCAUACGAGGUGCUGCAUGGUUGUCGUCAGCUCGUGCCGUGAGGUGUUAGGUUAAGUCCUGCAACGAGCGCAACCCCUGUUUUUAGUUGCCAUCAGGUGAUGCUGGGCACUCUAGAGAGACUGCCUGCGCAAGCAGAGAGGAAGGUGGGGAUGACGUCAAAUCAGCACGGCCCUUACGUCCAGGGCUACACACGUGCUACAAUGGCCGGUACAGAGGGCAGCUACAUGGUGACAUGAUGCGAAUCUCCAAAGCCGGUCUUAGUUCGGAUCGGAGUCUGCAACUCGACUUCGUGAAGCUGGAUUCGCUAGUAAUCGUAUAUCAGCCAUGAUACGGUGAAUACGUUCCCGGGCCUUGUACACACCGCCCGUCAAGCCAUGGAAGUUGGGGGUACCUGAAGUCGGUAACCGUUAAGGGUC